AAUAUAUAUAUGAAGUAUAAAAUAUAAAUACAAAUACAAGAACGUGAACUAUAAUACAAAUACAAUUAUAUCAAUAAAUACAAAAAUAUAAAUGAUGAUAUGAAGUAUAACAUACAAAUACAAGUGUGAAUUAUAAAAUACAAAUACAAAUACAAAUGUGAACUAUAAAAUUCAAAUUCAAAUACAAACGCAAACAAUAAAAUA
This 204-nucleotide long non-coding RNA is filed under the name Capsicum annuum. RNAcentral describes it as "long non-coding RNA (CANN_LNC018169)". Lineage: Eukaryota; Viridiplantae; Streptophyta; Magnoliopsida; Solanales; Solanaceae. The record is from RNAcentral.